AUUGAACGCUGGCGGCAGGCCUAACACAUGCAAGUCGAGCGGAUGAAGGGAGCUUGCUCCUGGAUUCAGCGGCGGACGGGCGAGUAAUGCCUAGGAAUCUGCCUGGUAGUGGGGGAUAACGUCCGGAAACGGGCGCUAAUACCGCAUACGUCCUGAGGGAGAAAGUGGGGGAUCUUCGGACCUCACGCUAUCAGCUGAGCCUAGGUCGGAUUAGCUAGUUGGUGGGGUAAGGGCCUACCAAGGCGACGAUCCGUAACUGGUCUGAGAGGAUGAUCAGUCACACUGGAACUGAGACACGGUCCAGACUCCUACGGGAGGCAGCAGUGGGGAAUAUUGGACAAUGGGCGAAAGCCUGAUCCAGCCAUGCCGCGUGUGUGAAGAAGGUCUUCGGAUUGUAAAGCACUUUAAGUUGGGAGGAAGGGCAGUAAGUUAAUACCUUGCUGUUUUGACGUUACCAACAGAAUAAGCACCGGCUAACUUCGUG
RNAcentral lists this ribosomal RNA (484 nucleotides) under uncultured bacterium. Its description in RNAcentral is "partial 16S ribosomal RNA". It matches the Rfam family "Bacterial small subunit ribosomal RNA", at positions 30 to 507 of the family's 1533-position model. The record is from RNAcentral.